GACGAACGCUGGCGGCGUGCUUAACACUUGCAAGUCGAACGGUGAAGCGCCUUCCUUUUUGGUGGGUGUGGAUGAGUGGCGAACGGGUGAGUAACACGUGAGUAACCUGCCCCCUUCUUCUGGAUAACCGCAUGAAAGUGUGGCUAAUACGGGAUAUUCUGGGUCUGUCGCAUGAUGGGUCUGGGAAAGAUAUUGUUUCGGUGGGGGAUGGGCUCGCGGCCUAUCAGCUUGUUGGUGGGGUGAUGGCCUACCAAGGCGGUGACGGGUAGCCGGCCUGAGAGGGUGGACGGUCACACUGGGACUGAGACACGGCCCAGACUCCUACGGGAGGCAGCAGUGGGGAAUAGUGCACAAUGGGCGCAAGCCUGAUGCAGCGACGCCGCGUGAGGGAUGGAGGCCUUCGGGUUGUGAACCUCUUUCGCCAGUGAAGCAGGCCUGCCUCGUUUGUGGGUGGGUUGACGGUAGCUGGAUAAGAAGCGCCGGCUAACUACGUG
This 494-nucleotide ribosomal RNA is filed under the name uncultured bacterium. Its description in RNAcentral is "partial 16S ribosomal RNA". It matches the Rfam family "Bacterial small subunit ribosomal RNA", at positions 28 to 507 of the family's 1533-position model. The record is from RNAcentral.